CCCCAUAUAUUAGUAACUUAAGCAUCCACAUCAUGAAGUGUAUAUAAGUCUUUUCUGCUAGUUUAUAAAUUCAAUUCAUUUUUAGGGUUUUUGUCUUUGUGAUCAGUAGAGCCAUUUUGGCAUUCUGUCCACCUCCAUUGCUAGCUCCAUAUCUUUCAAUGAGGAGGGGGCCAGAGUGCCAAACUAGCUCUGCAAAUUUCUCUUUGAGAAAACGCUCAAAUCAUAUGCCACAACAACGUAACCCCAGCUUAAUUCUUCAUUCUUGGUAUGUUGCUUAACACGAGCUUGUUUCUUGUUAUCCUUCUUAAUUUUGCACGUUUGAAUUAUAUUCGGUCUUUUAUCACUUUAUGUUGACUGGUUAUACGUACCUUGGAAAGAAUAAUAGCUUAGCUUAGUCUUACAUUACAGGAAUCACCUUGAUACGUACUAAACCUGAUCGAGCCCAAGAUCUUCUUGGAAAACUUGUCUGGAAAAUGCGAAAGCUCUUCUUUGUGGCAGCUAGUUAUGAAUAAAACUAGUGUCCUGUAGUGUUUGGGUCCAAAAAUAAUUGAUGCUUUAGCACCCAGUACUGUCGUCAUUGUAACUCUAGUAUAUAUUAAUUCUUGCUUGUUAAUUUAUUUAUCUAUUUCUUGAAGAGAAGCUAUAUAUAUCUACGAAAGAUAGUUUUCCUUAAAAGUACGUUACUACUAUGAGAG
This 695-nucleotide long non-coding RNA is filed under the name Nicotiana tabacum (common tobacco). RNAcentral's name for it is "long non-coding RNA (NTAB_LNC000212)". Lineage: Eukaryota; Viridiplantae; Streptophyta; Magnoliopsida; Solanales; Solanaceae. The record is from RNAcentral.